RNAcentral lists this ribosomal RNA (465 nucleotides) under Vreelandella stevensii. RNAcentral describes it as "partial 16S ribosomal RNA". It matches the Rfam family "Bacterial small subunit ribosomal RNA", at positions 338 to 795 of the family's 1533-position model. The record is from RNAcentral. Lineage: Bacteria; Pseudomonadati; Pseudomonadota; Gammaproteobacteria; Oceanospirillales; Halomonadaceae.
CCUACGGGCGGCAGCAGUGGGGAAUAUUGGACAAUGGGCGAAAGCCUGAUCCAGCCAUGCCGCGUGUGUGAAGAAGGCCUUCGGGUUGUAAAGCACUUUCAGUGGGGAAGAAAGCCUUGGGGCUAAUACCCUCGAGGAAGGACAUCACCCACAGAAGAAGCACCGGCUAACUCCGUGCCAGCAGCCGCGGUAAUACGGAGGGUGCGAGCGUUAAUCGGAAUUACUGGGCGUAAAGCGCGCGUAGGCGGUCUGAUAAGCCGGUUGUGAAAGCCCCGGGCUCACCCUGGGAACGGCAUCCGGAACUGUCAGGCUAGAGUGCAGGAGAGGAAGGUAGAAUUCCCGGUGUAGCGGUGAAAUGCGUAGAGAUCGGGAGGAAUACCAGUGGCGAAGGCGGCCUUCUGGACUGACACUGACGCUGAGGUGCGAAAGCGUGGGUAGCAAACAGGAUUAGAUACCCCGGUAGUC